This is a non-coding RNA of Chrysemys picta bellii (western painted turtle), 1208 nucleotides long. The record is from RefSeq and is a predicted model, not a curated record. NCBI's taxonomy places the organism in Eukaryota, Metazoa, Chordata, Testudines, Emydidae.
UUAAUAUGCUUUUCAAGGUUAGGGUAAUCACCAUUCAUCAGUCCUGUGCCUUUAACUCCUGCUCAUCCUAAGUGAGUCUCUAAAGCACUAACUUUUCUUCAGAGAGUUAAUGGUAUUUCUUUUAACUCUUGUGAAAAAGACCAAAAAUCCAAUUUAUGGUGCUUUUAUAAUUCUUUUGUGCAGUGAUCCUAUACAAGACACAUCUAUAAUCUAAUAGCUUUGGUAAGAAACCCCUGGAGAAAUGAAGACUUCAUAAUUCCUUUAUUUGGUGGCAUCCAGGGACCCAAAAGGACAAUUCCUGCCAAUUCAGAUUUCACAUGCUGAAAGGCACAAUAAGACCCAGCGCUUGGAACAUAAAAUUGUACAUCCCAGUCUCUCUGUCAAUUUGAUGGUUUCUUUCUGGCAUCUUCUGAAAGGCAGGAGUGUAAGCAUGGAGGCUUGGGAGAGGAGAAAACUGGUUUGCUUGGAGCAAGUAGGGGGACUUCUGGCUAAAACUUGCUUAGGUGUGAACCUGAGUGCAUCUCUUAAUCAGCAAGAGAGUAAUGCCCCCCACGACUUGCCGCCCCAGGCACGCACUUGCUGCGCUGGUGCCUGGAGCUGCCCCUGCUGAUGGGAGUACCACCUUUUCUCAAGAUCUUGCCAUCUCUUACAUUGAUUCUCCACUUUCAAAUCCCAGCUGAAAAUGUCUUUUUCUUCAUUCCAUAAAUCACUUCAUUUCUCCCUCCCAUUUCUGUUUUUCUCUUAUUUAAUGUGGCAAUGUGUAACUUUUUAAAGCUACUUUAGAACUGGAGUUUCUUCAUAGGUUAAGGCCAGAAGGGACCAUUACAAUCAUCUACUUUGACCUCCUCCGUAACAGAGAUCACAGAACCUAUAGCCCGUAAUUUCUCUGAGAACUAGGGCAGAUCUCUUAGAAAGACAUGAGCACUGGUUUAAAGAGUUCAAGUGUGGUGAUUUCACCACAUACAUAUAUAAGUUCUUCCAAUGAUUAAUUACUCGCUGUUGUAUUUCUUAAGUGCAUUACUUGUAGUUUGAAAUUAUCUAACUUCAGCUUCCAGCAACUGGAUCUUAUACCUUUUGUCUGGUAAAGAGCCCUCUACUAUGGUUUAUGUAAAAGAUGCUAUAUAGAAUACAGUUGCAUUGUUCUUUGGGUAUUUGCAUUUAGACUUUUGUUUUUCAGUGGCAAUAAAAAUGGAUUGGAUCAUCCCAAA